This 357-nucleotide ribosomal RNA is filed under the name uncultured bacterium. Its description in RNAcentral is "bacterial SSU rRNA". It matches the Rfam family "Bacterial small subunit ribosomal RNA", at positions 233 to 581 of the family's 1533-position model. The record is from RNAcentral.
AUGGCCCAUCAGCUAGUUGGUAGGGUAAAGGCCUACCAAGGCUACGACGGGUCGCUGGUCUGAGAGGACGACCAGCCACACUGGCACUGAGAUACGGGCCAGACUCCUACGGGAGGCAGCAGUGAGGAAUAUUGCGCAAUGGGGGAAACCCUGACGCAGCAACGCCGCGUGUGGGAAGAAGGCCUUCGGGUCGUAAACCACUUUUGCACGGGACGAAAAAGGGAUAUCGAACAAAUAUCCCCCGAUGACGGUACCGUGAGAAUAAGCCACGGCUAACUCUGUGCCAGCAGCCGCGGUAAGACAGAGGUGGCAAGCGUUGUUCGGAAUUACUGGGCGUAAAGAGUCUGUAGGUGGUUU